AGAGAGGUGGCUUAGUGGUUAAGAACAUUGGCUGCUCUUCCAAAGGAUCUGGGUUCAAUUCCCGGCACCUCCA
This 73-nucleotide transfer RNA is filed under the name Mus musculus (house mouse). It matches the Rfam family "tRNA". From Rfam's summary of the family: Transfer RNA (tRNA) molecules are approximately 80 nucleotides in length. Their secondary structure includes four short double-helical elements and three loops (D, anti-codon, and T loops). The record is from Rfam by way of RNAcentral. Lineage: Eukaryota; Metazoa; Chordata; Mammalia; Rodentia; Muridae.